UGGAUAUUCCGUGUAGGUUUU
Molecule: non-coding RNA, 21 nt
Filed under: Caenorhabditis elegans
Lineage: Eukaryota; Metazoa; Nematoda; Chromadorea; Rhabditida; Rhabditidae
Source: RNAcentral